Long non-coding RNA from Hyla sarda, 745 nucleotides. RefSeq lists it as uncharacterized. Lineage: Eukaryota; Metazoa; Chordata; Amphibia; Anura; Hylidae. The transcript is spliced from 3 exons. The record is from RefSeq and is a predicted model, not a curated record.
UUCAGAAACAAAGAUCCACCGUCACCACCGUCUUGCUGGGCUUCCAGUACGAAAGGAACUUCCUUCGAAAAAUGCUAUGUAAACUCCCGAGAGGAUGAAUUGGUGCUGCAGCUGUGAAGCCAAGAUGAGAAGUUAUUAACAGGGAAAGAAGAGUGAGAUUGGAAAAUGAAGGAAGGAAGAAAGAAAAGAGGGGUUGUGAGAGCAGGUUGCAAAUAGCCUGAAGAAUGCAAGCAUCACUUACUCUGGAUCUCAUUGAGAAAGGACUUCAGGCAAAUUCAAUUCAGAUGUAUGGCUAAAAAAUAAUUUCUCUUUCUAUUUUUGAUAUUAUUCUUAAUUUUAAAACAAAAAUGUAGGAUUACAUUAUAUAAUUACUUUUUAACCAACUCAUAUGUUUUCUGUUUGUGUUUUUCAAUUUGUAUUUAUAUUCUUGUUGAUGUUAUUUUAAAAUAUUUCCACUUAUGGUAAAUUUAUGUCUACUAUCCCCUUACCUAAAACAGUUAAUUUAUAUGUGGAACAAUCUUUAUAAAUAACUAUUACUUUCCCUUAUUUAUGUGUUUCAUUACUUUCAUGUCAUUUUGCCAUGUAUCACAAUUGUGGUAUGACUGCUGUUAAAUUUAUGUGGUUCUAAGGCCUCCUUUACAAUUGCAUGUGCACCCUAGUACAGAAGUGAUGCUGCUUACUGAUUGUCAUGAUAUAUAUAUAUUUUUUUCUGUUAGGCGUUAUUCCGACAUAGCAGUUUAUCUAA